GCCCUCGUAGCUCAGUGGACAGAGCAGCGGACUUCUAAUCCGCGGGUCGCAGGUUCGAAUCCUGCCGAGGGUGCCA
This 76-nucleotide transfer RNA is filed under the name Chloroflexota bacterium. RNAcentral's name for it is "Chloroflexi bacterium tRNA-Arg". It matches the Rfam family "tRNA". Rfam says of the family: Transfer RNA (tRNA) molecules are approximately 80 nucleotides in length. Their secondary structure includes four short double-helical elements and three loops (D, anti-codon, and T loops). Further hydrogen bonds mediate the characteristic L-shaped molecular structure. tRNAs have two regions of fundamental functional importance: the anti-codon, which is responsible for specific mRNA codon recognition, and the 3' end, to which the tRNAs corresponding amino acid is attached (by aminoacyl-tRNA synthetases). tRNAs cope with the degeneracy of the genetic code in two manners: having more than one tRNA (with a specific anti-codon) for a particular amino acid; and 'wobble' base-pairing, i.e. permitting non-standard base-pairing at the 3rd anti-codon position. Lineage: Bacteria; Bacillati; Chloroflexota. RNAcentral also lists the same sequence under 1 other name. The record is from RNAcentral.